AACGAACGCUGGCGGCAUGCCUAACACAUGCAAGUCGAACGAGACCUUCGGGUCUAGUGGCGCACGGGUGCGUAACGCGUGGGAACCUGCCCUUAGGUUCGGAAUAACUCCCCGAAAGGGGUGCUAAUACCGGAUAAUGUCUUCGGACCAAAGAUUUAUCGCCUUUGGAUGGGCCCGCGUUGGAUUAGCUAGUUGGUAGGGUAAAAGCCUACCAAGGCGACGAUCCAUAGCUGGUCUGAGAGGAUGAUCAGCCACACUGGGACUGAGACACGGCCCAGACUCCUACGGGAGGCAGCAGUGGGGAAUAUUGACAAUGGGCGAAAGCCUGAUCCAGCAAUGCCGCGUGAGUGAUGAAGGCCUUAGGGUUGUAAAGCUCUUUUACCCGGGAUGAUAAUGGCAGUACCGGGAGAAUAAGCUCCGGCUAACUCCGUG
Molecule: ribosomal RNA, 432 nt
Filed under: uncultured bacterium
Lineage: Bacteria
Description: partial 16S ribosomal RNA
Rfam family: Bacterial small subunit ribosomal RNA
Source: RNAcentral